This 434-nucleotide ribosomal RNA is filed under the name uncultured bacterium. Its description in RNAcentral is "partial 16S ribosomal RNA". It matches the Rfam family "Bacterial small subunit ribosomal RNA", at positions 29 to 507 of the family's 1533-position model. The record is from RNAcentral.
AGCGAACGCUGGCGGCAGGCCUAACACAUGCAAGUCGAACGAACCUUUCGGGGUUAGUGGCGGACGGGUGAGUAACACGUGGGAACGUGCCUUUAGGUUCGGAAUAACUCAGGGAAACUUGUGCUAAUACCGAAUGUGCCCUUCGGGGGAAAGAUUAAUCGCCUUUAGAGCGGCCCGCGUCUGAUUAGCUAGUUGGUUGAGGUAAUGGCUCACCAAGGCGACGAUCAGUAGCUGGUCUGAGAGGAUGAUCAGCCACAUUGGGACUGAGACACGGCCCAAACUGCUACGGGAGGCAGCAGUGGGGAAUCUUGCGCGAUGGGCGAAAGCCUGACGAAGCCAUGCCGCGUGAAUGAUGAAGGUCUUAGGAUUGUAAAAUUCUUUAACCGGGGACGAUAAUGACGGUACUCGGAGAAGAAGCCCCGGCUAACUUCGUG